RNAcentral lists this ribosomal RNA (253 nucleotides) under uncultured bacterium. RNAcentral's name for it is "partial 16S ribosomal RNA". It matches the Rfam family "Bacterial small subunit ribosomal RNA", at positions 524 to 776 of the family's 1533-position model. The record is from RNAcentral.
UACGUAGGGUGCGAGCGUUAAUCGGAAUUACUGGGCGUAAAGCGUGCGCAGGCGGUUCGUUAAGUUCGUUGUGAAAGCCCCGGGCUCAACCUGGGAACUGCAAUGGAAACUGGCGGGCUUGAGUGUGGCAGAGGGGGGUGGAAUUCCGCGUGUAGCAGUGAAAUGCGUAGAGAUGCGGAGGAACACCGAUGGCGAAGGCAGCUCUCUGGUCGACAUCUGACGCUGAGACGCGAAAGCGUGGGGAGCGAACAGG